UGGUGUUUGGGUACAUAGAACCCAGCACCGAGAGGGACCAUCAGAGGAUGUUCCAUGAGAACUUGGUGAGGGUUGUGGAGAGGUUGGCUGGUGCUUCUCCGUCUUCAUACAGAUGUCCAGACAGGGGACCAGAAGUCUCAGGUCUGAGCUCUACCUGGAAGCCCCUCACGUCUGUAGCCAUCAAACCUCCAGAUAAGACGAGCCCUGAAGCAUUUUGGUUGCAUCAGAAAACAGAUGGAAGGCCAGUCUUCACAGAUGCAUAUACUUCAUCCUGGCUUCCACCCACAGAGGUUGCAUCUGUGCAGAAAUUCAUCCCAGAGCACCAGGCAGGUGGGUAUCAACUCCUGCUGAGAUUUCGCUGUAUCAGGAAACUCAUGCAUCUGGUGCAACUGUCCCGGAGUGGCUCUGACAGUCCAGGGCUGGGCAGUGGAGACACUGAUGACAGCCUUGAGCAGAGUGG
This 460-nucleotide long non-coding RNA is filed under the name Pan troglodytes (chimpanzee). RNAcentral describes it as "long non-coding RNA NONPTRT014374". The record is from RNAcentral. Lineage: Eukaryota; Metazoa; Chordata; Mammalia; Primates; Hominidae.